UGGCCGUAAACGAUGUGGACUUGGUGUUGGAAUGGCUCCGAGCUGCUCCAGUGCCGAAGGGAAACUGUUAAGUCCACCGCCUGGGAAGUACGGUCGCAAGACUGAAACUUAAAGGAAUUGGCGGGGGAGGCACCACAACACGUGGAGCCUGCGGUUUAAUUGGAUUCAACGCCGGACAUCUCACCAGAGGCGACAGCUGUAUGAUAGUCGGGCUGAAGACUCUACUUGAUGAUCUGAGAGGUGGUGCAUGGCGUCAGUGACU
Molecule: ribosomal RNA, 262 nt
Filed under: uncultured archaeon
Lineage: Archaea
Description: partial 16S ribosomal RNA
Rfam family: Archaeal small subunit ribosomal RNA
Source: RNAcentral